Molecule: RNA transcript, 1480 nt
Organism: Beta vulgaris subsp. vulgaris (sugar beet)
Lineage: Eukaryota; Viridiplantae; Streptophyta; Magnoliopsida; Caryophyllales; Amaranthaceae
Exons: 4
Source: RefSeq, a predicted model, not a curated record
UCACUCUCAUGAUCAGUCCUCCUUCCCUCUCUAGUGUUUUCACUUUUUCAUCCCUUCGCAUUCUCUCUCUUCUUCCAUCUCCUUCAAACUACUUCUAUGUCUCUCUCUUCCUUUUUCACUCUCAGAUCCGCUCCUUAAAACGAAUGUCAAGUUCUAUGAAUAAUCAAGAUGGAUUUUAAUGGAGAUGUGUCAUCUCUUGAUGCUGAUCUCUUGAAGUUACACGAGGUUUCACCUUUGGCUCUCAAACCUAAUCCUUACCUGGCGCAAGAGUUAUUUGAACAGUGGCUUUCGCUUCCUGAAACCAAUUGCCUCCUGCUAAGGGUAGGGAUCAAUCCUGAGUUCAUAACUUUCAGUCAUGUAACUAUGGAAUCAAACAAGUAUAUUUGUGUGAGAGAGACUUCUCCUCAAAAUAGUGUUGUGAUUAUUGAUAUGAGCAUGCCAAGUCAGCCUUUGAGUCCAUCAUCGCUGAUUUUGCUUUGAUGAACUGUAAUUCAAGAACUCUCUCUCUCAAAGGUGCUGUGAAAGUACAUUCUACACCCUUUGUUGCACUUGCACCCCCAUCUUCAAACAAGGUUGUUUGCUCCUGCUUGAGAAUGGUUGCAUGCCCCAAAACAGAAUAAUCAGCAAUCUGUUGCUCAACACGCUCAACAACAUCACAGUCAAGUUAAUUUUUGUUCCCCUACCUUACAAGGUGUGUUUUUAGUCAUAGUUGAUGUAUAGCAAUGGUGAUUUUGGUACACUUUGUAUACAGAGAAUACCUUGAAGGGGAAAUAAGAAUGAAGGAAAGCUUUUAGAUGAAUUGUAAAGUUGUCUUGCUGGUUGAAAAUGACAUCUUUUUUUCAGAAUAUUACUAACUAAUAUGGUCACACCAAUAAAAUCGAAUCAAUUAGUUUGGCCAAAGUUUUCUUUUUUCACUUAACUGAUCCAACUAUAGUUAAAAAUCAGACCAGUUAGCUAAAUUAAUUGGUGCAGAUUUCAAAUAUAUUUUUUGUGUCGCCUCUUAUAUACUAGGCCACUUGCAUAAUAACAUGUGUCGCCUUAAAGGGGCGACUCUAAAACUCCAAAUACUUUAUAGUCGGUAGUCACAUAAUAGCCUCUUAGGCGACACUAAAGAGAAUAUGGAGCCUACUCCCAAAGGUGAUUUUGCAGUAAUAAUGGAUGAGCUUUUAAGGACCGCAUCAAUUUCAGUAAUGCUUAAAAGAGCAUUCAGAGGGAAUCAUAAUUCAAUUGAUGUUAAAGAAACAUUUAGGGGCCAAAUAAAUUUCAUGAAUACUAAAAGUUACUUUUAGGGGUAACUAGAUUUUACUAUUGCUAAAAAGAUGUUUUAGAGGCAACCUAAAUUUCACUAUUGUGUGAAAAACGUUUUUAGAGGUAACUAUUAUUUCAUUAAUGCUAAAGCUACUUUUAGGGGCAACAUAAAUUUUCCUAAUGCUAAAAAAAAGUUAUAGAGGCAAUCAUUAUUUCAUUGAUGCUAAUAACU